AACACCUCAGUAGCACGUCAUACGCCGACCAAUCAUCAG
Molecule: non-coding RNA, 39 nt
Filed under: Mycobacterium tuberculosis
Lineage: Bacteria; Bacillati; Actinomycetota; Actinomycetes; Mycobacteriales; Mycobacteriaceae
Source: RNAcentral